AACGAACGCUGGCGGCAUGCCUAACACAUGCAAGUCGAACGAGACCUUCGGGUCUAGUGGCGCACGGGUGCGUAACGCGUGGGAAUCUGCCCUUGGUUCGGAAUAACAGUUAGAAAUGACUGCUAAUACCGGAUGAUGACGAAAGUCCAAAGAUUUAUCGCCGAGGGAUGAGCCCGCGUAGGAUUAGCUAGUUGGUGAGGUAAAGGCUCACCAAGGCGACGAUCCUUAGCUGGUCUGAGAGGAUGAUCAGCCACACUGGGACUGAGACACGGCCCAGACUCCUACGGGAGGCAGCAGUGGGGAAUAUUGGACAAUGGGCGAAAGCCUGAUCCAGCAAUGCCGCGUGAGUGAUGAAGGCCUUAGGGUCGUAAAGACUCUUUACCUAGGGAGUGAUAAUGACAGUACCUGGAGAAUAAGACUCCGGCUAACUCCGUGCCAGCAGCCGCGGU
This 449-nucleotide ribosomal RNA is filed under the name uncultured bacterium. Its description in RNAcentral is "bacterial SSU rRNA". It matches the Rfam family "Bacterial small subunit ribosomal RNA", at positions 29 to 521 of the family's 1533-position model. The record is from RNAcentral.